RNAcentral lists this long non-coding RNA (308 nucleotides) under Manihot esculenta (cassava). RNAcentral's name for it is "long non-coding RNA (MESC_LNC002153)". Lineage: Eukaryota; Viridiplantae; Streptophyta; Magnoliopsida; Malpighiales; Euphorbiaceae. The record is from RNAcentral.
GCUCAGCACAUCGUACUCAUGAGGCCCAGGCUCUGAUACCAAUUGUAACAUUCUCUGGGCCCACAACAGUAGAUAUUGUCCGCUUUUGGGUUCGAGGGCCUUGGCCCAGCCUUCCCCUCACGGUUUUGUUUCUAAGGGUUCACGCAAGCGUCCUUCCCCUCAAAACGCGUCUACUGUGGUCUCUUGGGGCUUGCCCUUAUAAGGCGUCCCCCCUCCUUACCUCUUUCCGAUGUGGGAUACUUUCAAUCCACCUCAUAGGGCUUCUACCCCCCAUAAGGCCUGAGCGUCCUCGCUCAGCACACCGNNNN